UACUUUCCUUACUGCCAGAAAAAAUUUGACCAUAGAGCUGCAGGCUUGCCACUGUGAUGCUGAUGUGAAACAGCCUAGUCUGAACUUCUUUGACAGCACAGACAACUCCACUGAUCGAACAAGAGUAAACCUGAUUAGAAAUACCAUUCAACUGGGCCAGGUGCGGUGGCUCACGCCUGUAAUCCCAGCACUUUGGGAGGCCAAGGUGGGCAGAUCACGAGGUCAAGAGAUCAAGACCAUCCUGGCCAACAUGGUGAAACCCCAUCUCUACUAAAAAUACAAAAAAAAAUUUAGCUGGGCGUGGUGGUGCGUGCCUGAAAUCCCAGCUACUCGGGAGCCUGAGGCAGGAGAAUCCGGAAGGCAAGAUUGGGAAGGCCACUCAUACUCCGGCGGUAUCUGGAGGACCUCCGGGAAGACGGCAAGGACAGCACUUCCG
RNAcentral lists this long non-coding RNA (436 nucleotides) under Homo sapiens (human). RNAcentral describes it as "HSALNT0334118". Lineage: Eukaryota; Metazoa; Chordata; Mammalia; Primates; Hominidae. The record is from RNAcentral.